Picea glauca (white spruce) is the source of this 119-nucleotide non-coding RNA. The record is from Rfam. Lineage: Eukaryota; Viridiplantae; Streptophyta; Pinopsida; Pinales; Pinaceae.
AAUGUAAUGCAUACAUCGUUAAUGCGUCGAAUCCCAUUAUAACUCUGCAGUUAAGAACACUUGGACUAAAUUAGUAUUGGGAUGAGUGACCUCCUGGGAAGUCCUAGUGUUUUACAUGC